CGAUACGAGUUUGAUCAUGGCUCAGGAUGAACGCUAGCGGCAGGCUUAAUACAUGCAAGUCAAGGGGGUAGCAAUACAACCGGCGCACGGGUGAGUAACGCGUACACAACAUACCAUAUACUGGGGUAUAGCUUCGGGAAACUGGAGAUAAUCCCCCAUAACAUUGCGAGAGGGCAUCUGAUUGCAAUUAAAGUUUCGACGGUAUACGAUUGGUGUGCGUUUGAUUAGCUUGUUGGUAGGGUAACGGCCUACCAAGGCGACGAUCAAUAGCUGGCGUGAGAGCGCGACCAGCCACACUGGAACUGAGACACGGUCCAGACUCCUACGGGAGGCAGCAGUAGGGAAUAUUGGACAAUGGGCGAAAGCCUGAUCCAGCCAUGCCGCGUGAUAGAUGAAGGCCCUCUGGGUUGUAAAUAUCUUUUAUCUGGGAAGAAACUCCUCUAUUCUUAGAGGCCUGACGGUACCAGAGGAAUAAGCACCGGCUAACUCCGUG
Molecule: ribosomal RNA, 493 nt
Filed under: uncultured bacterium
Lineage: Bacteria
Description: bacterial SSU rRNA
Rfam family: Bacterial small subunit ribosomal RNA
Source: RNAcentral